GAUUAAUGCUGGUGGUAUGCAUAACACAUGCAAGUCGAACGAAGAGGGUUUACUCUCUUAGUGGCGAACGGGCGAGUAACACAUAUUUAACUUACCUGCACGAGGAGAAUAGCAACUCGAAAGAGUUAUUAAUACUCCAUAGGUUUGAGACCCAAAUUAAAGGGAGCGUUCUGGGAAACUAGAGCUUCGCGAGCAGAGAGGAGUAUGUCCUAUUAGGUUGUUGGUGGGGUAAUUGCCUACCAAGCCGAUGAUGGGUAGCUGGACUGAGAGGUCGACCAGCCGCAAUGGGAUUGAAAUACGGCCCAUAUUCCUACGGGAAGCAGCAGUGAGGAAUUUUUCACAAUGGACGAAAGUCUGAUGGAGCAAUACCAUGUGAACGAUGAAGGUCUUCUGAUUGUAAAGUUCUUUUAUUUAGGAAAAAAAGCUUGAUAGGAAAUGAUUAAGCCUUGAUUGUACUAAAUGAAUAAGUGACAGCUAACUAUGGCCAGCAGCUGCGGUAAAA
RNAcentral lists this ribosomal RNA (502 nucleotides) under Candidatus Mycoplasma haematominutum. Its description in RNAcentral is "bacterial SSU rRNA". It matches the Rfam family "Bacterial small subunit ribosomal RNA", at positions 28 to 525 of the family's 1533-position model. Lineage: Bacteria; Bacillati; Mycoplasmatota; Mollicutes; Mycoplasmatales; Mycoplasmataceae. The record is from RNAcentral.